Molecule: long non-coding RNA, 450 nt
Filed under: Homo sapiens (human)
Lineage: Eukaryota; Metazoa; Chordata; Mammalia; Primates; Hominidae
Description: HSALNT0329102
Source: RNAcentral
AAUACACGUCACCUACUGAGUAAAGGAUAUUGUUCAUUCUGAGCAAUUACUCAAAUUGUUUCACAGUGUGUUCUAUUUAUUUGUAUGAGCAUGGUUAAUAUGCAAACUGGAUCAUCCCUUGGAAACCUGAAAGUGAAUUUUGUGAUAAUACAAGGAAUCCUAGGGUAAUCAUACCAGAUGUCUUCUGCAUGCCUUAAUUUACAAAUGCCAACAAUAAAAAGGAGGAAGAAGGAGCCAGGAAGAUUGGAUGCAGUAGCCACCAAGGAACCCUGGUGAUGGCAUCUGCUUGGCUUCUAGGGAGGCCUCAGGAAGUUUACAAUCAUGGUGAAAAGUGAAGCUGGAGCAGGCACUUCACAUGGUGAAAGCAGGAGCAAGACACAGUGAAAUGGUACAAGUGCCAAACACUUUAAAAUGACCAGAUCUUACAAGAACUCACUAUCACGAAGACAG